CUGGAAGGGAACUGUACUUUCCAGAUCUCUGGGGCACAACAUGGAGGGUUUCUGGACCUUAUUGUGCAAUAGUUAUGAGUGUUCAACUGAGUCUGGAAAUGAAUGCAGUUCUCGCGUUCUAGCCAUCAUCAAUCCGAAUUCAUGUAUACACAAUAUUGUCGUUAUUGCAAUUGAUAUGAUGCUCCUAAUCAUCUUGUUAUGUUAUCUCAUUCUUACAAUAGCAUCAAAGAAGAUUAUAGCAGCCUCACACCUUCUCUCCAGUGUCAAUUGUCUCAGUCAGUUUCAAUGCUGGCUUGGCUUUGGCCUACCUGGGGUUUGGAAUAUGGACAAUGAUUGAGAAAGUAAAUACAGAUCGCAUGGUUUUACCUGUACACGGGUGGUUAGUAUAUUUUUCUCAAGGGUUUACAUGGUUAGGUGUGGGACUUACCUUAAACCUCAAGAAACCGCAUAGUCCACAUGCCACGAUAAUGAAAUUCUUUGCGAUUUUUAGUUUCUUAAUUGCAUUGUUUGUUUGUGGUUCUGCUACUUGGGAAUGUGCACUAGAUGAGGAAGUAUCAGUUAAUAUUGUUUUGAACAUUCUUUGUUUCCCUGGAUCAAUUCUCUUGCUCUUUACUGCAUCUGAGGGAAACAGUUGCGCACAAGGUGAUCUGGAAGUCCAUUAUGGUGAUGCAUUCUACACACCUUUGCCUGGUGAAGAACCGAAAAUCACAGGUGCAAUCAGUUCAGAUGACAAUGUGACUCCUUUUGCGAAGGCUGGAUUGUUCAGUAAAAUGACAUUCUGGUGGUUGAAUCCAUUGAUGAAGAAAGGUAAGGAAAAGAUUCUUGAGAAUGAAGAUAUUCCACAAUUGCGAGAAGCUGAUCGAGCAAGAACGUUGCACUCAAUAUUUAGGGAGCAAUUGCAGAAAAGAAAGGAAAGACAUCCAUCCAGUGGUGACCCUUCUGUUCUGACCAUAAUUUUUUUCUGCCAGUGGAAAGCAAUUUUGGUUUCAGGGUUCUUUGCACUCCUCAAGAUUCUCGCAAUGACUGUCUCCCCACUGUUUCUCAUAGCUUUCAUCAAGGUUGUUGAUGCCAAUGCAGCUUCUAGAUAUGAGGUUUAUGCACUGACCGCUGGUCUGUUCUUUGUGAAAAUUGUGGAGUCACUGUCGGAGAGGCAAUGGUUCUUUAGAACUAGACUUAUUGGACUCCAGAUAAGAUCAUUGAUAUCUGCAGAAGUUUAUCAGAAGCAACUAAGACUCUCAAAUGCUGCCAAGAUGACUCAUUCUCCUGGUGAGAUGGUGAAUUAUGUAACAGUGGAUGCUUACAGGGUUGGUGAAUUUCCAUUCUGGUUGCAUCAGAUUUGGUCCACAACCCUCCAGUUGUGUCUCUCUUUGAUUAUUAUUUACUUCGCUGUUGGGGCAGCAACAGUUGCAGCUGUAACUGCUCUCAUAUUGACUGUGGUGGUAAGCUCUCCAUUGGCAAAGUUGCAGCAUGAAUAUCAAACAAAGUUCAUGAUUGCACAAAAGAAGAGGCUGAAGGCCAUGACGGAAGCACUAUCAAAUAUGAAGAUCUUGAAGCUGUAUUCUUGGGAGAAAAAUUUCAAGAAGGUCAUAGAAGAGCUUAGAGUAGAAGAACUCAAAUGGAUAUCUAAAGUAGUCUCACAAAAGGGUUAUUGUAAUGCUUUAUUCUGGACAGCACCUGUUUUGGCAGCAGCUGUCACCUUUUGGACAUGCUACUUGCUUGGAUUUGCACUCUCUCCAAGUAAUGUCUUCACUUUUUUAGCAACUUUGCGUAUUCUUCAGGAGCCAAUAAGGUUUAUCCCAGAUGUUUUGGGAGCAUUCAUUGAAGCACAGGUGUCCUUCUCUCAGAUUGUGAAGUUCCUUGAUGCACCAGAGUUGGAGAACAGACAUACAAGGAAAGUGAGCAGUGGCAAGGAGGUUGAACAUUCCAUUUUCAUUAGAUCUUCAGAAAUUUCAUGGGAUACUAGUCCUACAAAGCCUACAUUGAGGAACAUAGAUUUAGUGGUGAAACAAGGAGAAAAAGUAGCUAUUUGUGGAGAGGUUGGCUCAGGAAAAUCAACUCUUUUGGCUGCUAUUCUUGGAGAAGUUCCACAUAUCACUGGCAUUGUUCAAGUAUAUGGCACGAUAGCAUAUGUUUCUCAGUCUGCUUGGAUUGAAACAGGAACUAUACAAGAUAAUAUUCUGUUUGGGACUCCCAUGGAUCAUGUUAGAUACCAUGAAACUCUUAGGAAGUGUUCUCUUGUAAAGGACUUAGAUAUACUUCCAUUCCGAGAUCUCACUCAGAUAGGAGAAAGAGGUGUCAAUCUAAGUGGUGGCCAGAAGCAACGCAUCCAACUGGCACGUGCAUUGUAUCAAAAUGCAGAUGUCUACCUCUUGGAUGAUCCAUUCAGUGCGGUUGAUGCCCAUACAGCCACAAGCCUAUUUAAUGACUAUGUCAUGGGUGCUCUGGCAGAGAAGACAGUGUUGCUUGUGACACACCAAGUCGACUUCCUUCAAUCUUUUGAUUCAAUAUUGUUGAUGUCUUCAGGGACGAUUUCAGGAGCAGCUCCUUACGAAGAGUUGCUGGCUUUUUGUCAAGAAUUUCGAGAACCUGUUAAUGCACACAAUAAGAAUUUUGGUUCCCAGAGGCAAGUUGAAUAUGCCUCCACUAGAAAACAUAAAUCGUCUGCAGAGGAGAUUGAGAAUGUUAGAACUGACGUACAACUUAUAGAAUUUUCGGGAGAUCAAUUGAUUAAGAAAGAAGAGAGAGAAACAGGAGACACUGGGUUCAAGCCAUGCAUUCAGUAUUUGAAGCAUGGCAAGGGAUUCUUGCACUUCUCUUUAUCAGUUGUUUUCUUGUUUCUAUUCAUAGUUGGGCAGUUACUUCAAAACUUUUGGUUGGCUUUGAAUCUUCAGGAUUACAGCAUUUCCAGGGUCAAACUCUUCACAGUUUACUCUGUGAUCUUUUGUAUUAUGGCCUUCUGUAUGCUUCUUCGAUCUUUUAGGAUUGUCGAUUUAGGAUGUGGAGCAUCAGAAUCCAUUUUCUCCACCCUACUGAACUCCCUUUUCCGAGCACCAAUGCUGUUUUAUGAUUCAACACCUUUGGGGAGGAUACUUAGUCGGGUAUCUACUGAUAUGAAUAUCAUCGACCUUGAAGUAGCGCUAAGGUUAACAGUAGCUGUUGGAGCAACUCUGAACACAUUUAGCAUAUUCUUAGUCAUGGUUUUUCUUACUUGGCCACUACUAUUCCUGAUUGUACCUACAGUUUAUGUUACUUUUCGCCUUCAGAGUUACUACUUUGCAUCUUCAAAAGAGUUGAUGCGCAUGAAUGGCACGACUAAGUCUGCACUUGCAAGCCACCUUUCAGAAUCUAUUGCUGGAGCAGUGACAAUCAGAGCUUUUGGACAGGAGGAAAGAUUCUUCUCCAAAAACUUAGAAUUCAUUGAUGCAAAUUCUAGUGCUGACUUCAAUAGCUUCUCAACCAACGAGUGGUUAAUUGAACGUCUAGAAUUGCUUUGUGCUAUUGUUCUCUCAGCCUCAGCAUUUGCCAUUACUUCGAUUCAGUCCGGUGCUUCUUCAUCUGGAUUUAUUGGGAUGACACUAUCAUAUGGCCUUUCACUGAAUAUCUUUCUAGUACUUUUGGUCCAAUUUCAUUGCUUUUUAGCAAAUUCAAUCAUUUCUGUAGAAAGGGUAGAACAAUACAUGCACAUUCCUAGCGAAGCUGCAGAAGUGAUAAAAGACAACCGACCUGCACACAAUUGGCCUAUUGUUGGUAAAGUGGAAAUACAUGACUUAGAGGUAAGAUAUAGGCCAAAUUCUCCUUUGGUUCUCCAUGGGAUAAACUGCAUCAUUGAGGGAGGCCACAAAAUUGGAAUUGUUGGCCGGACUGGAAGUGGAAAGACAACUCUUAUCAGUGUUUUGUUUCGUCUGGUAGAGCCUACAGGGGGAAGGGUCAUCGUUGAUGGCUAUGACAUAUGCACAAUUGGCCUUUAUGAUUUAAGAUCACGUUUUGGGAUCAUCCCUCAAGAUCCGACAUUGUUUGGCGGGUCUGUGAGAUACAACCUCGAUCCCUUGGCAGAGCAUACCGAUCAUGAAAUAUGGGAGGUUCUUGAGAAAUGUCAGCUACGGGAGGCCAUUGGAGAGGAAGAAGGGGGCCUGGAUUCUUUAGUUGUGCAAGACGGAACAAACUGGAGCAUGGGACAACGACAACUGUUCUGCUUGGGGCGUGCUUUACUGAAGAAAAGCCGAAUUCUAGUGCUUGAUGAAGCCACAGCAUCAAUGGACAAUGCAACAGACUCUUUUCUCCAAAAAACUAUAAGAACAGAAUUUGCAGACUGCACUGUAAUAACAGUGGCACAUAGGAUACCCACCGUGAUGGACUGCACUAAGGUUCUCGCUCUUAGUGAUGGCAAAGUAGUAGAGUAUGAUGAGCCAAUGAAGCUGAUGAACAAUGAGGGAUCACUAUUCGGGCAGCUUGUUAAGGAAUACUGGUCUCGUUCUGCCAAUGCUAGCAUGCACUCAGAAGGCUGAUAGUGAAAGGUACUGGGGUGCUUUCGAUCACGUAGUAAAUAAAGCUCUGCCUGCUAGACUUGUUUCAUUUCCCUUGUGUAUUUUC
This is an RNA transcript of Fragaria vesca subsp. vesca, 4590 nucleotides long. It is a transcript of the gene named ABC transporter C family member 10-like, with no coding region annotated. Lineage: Eukaryota; Viridiplantae; Streptophyta; Magnoliopsida; Rosales; Rosaceae. The record is from RefSeq and is a predicted model, not a curated record. The transcript is spliced from 12 exons.